Fusarium verticillioides 7600 is the source of this 90-nucleotide transfer RNA. It matches the Rfam family "tRNA". Rfam says of the family: Transfer RNA (tRNA) molecules are approximately 80 nucleotides in length. Their secondary structure includes four short double-helical elements and three loops (D, anti-codon, and T loops). Lineage: Eukaryota; Fungi; Ascomycota; Sordariomycetes; Hypocreales; Nectriaceae. The record is from Rfam.
UCCGGUAUGGUGUAGUGGCUAACAUUUCGCGCUCUCAAGACCUGAGGGAUUAGUUCCGCGGAGCCCAGGGUUCGAUUCCCUGUACCGGAG